This 408-nucleotide unclassified non-coding RNA is filed under the name Ilyanassa obsoleta. RNAcentral describes it as "Tritia obsoleta partial localized RNA 2". Lineage: Eukaryota; Metazoa; Mollusca; Gastropoda; Neogastropoda; Nassariidae. The record is from RNAcentral.
CAACACGAAGGCUGCAAGAAAAAUAAACGAAAUGUCUGCCGACAAAGUCCNGCGAAGUGGCGAGCCAGCGGCGGCAGCACCCCCUGAGAUAGAUCCCGCCGCACAGAAGAUGCUAGAAGAGUUGCGAAAGCUAAGUGACGCAGCUCGGCUGAGAGCUGUGCAUGCUAUAGUAAACAAACAAACGAGGGAAAUAGCCCAGGUGCGGCAAGAGUCACGUAUUCAAUUAGCAAUCUGUGAACAGACUCUUGCUGAUCUUCGUGAGUUUAAACAAAGGUUUGGAUAGGUGCAUUACGACCCACUGACCAUGAUGAAGAAAACCUCGAAUAGGAUAAACUGGAUGACAAAGGGGACGAUCCCAGAGAGGAUGAUAGAAAAGACGAAGGGGGAGACCCCCAAAAAGACGAUGAU